Molecule: ribosomal RNA, 397 nt
Filed under: uncultured bacterium
Lineage: Bacteria
Description: partial 16S ribosomal RNA
Rfam family: Bacterial small subunit ribosomal RNA
Source: RNAcentral
AAUAUUGGACAAUGGGCGCAAGCCUGAUCCAGCCAUGCCGCGGGAGUGAUGAAGGCCUUAGGGUUGUAAAGCCCUUUCAGUGGGGAAGAUAAAGACGGUACCGACAGAAGAAGCCCCGGCUACCUUCGUGCAAGCAGCCGCGGUAAUACGAAGGGGGCUAGCGUUGUUCGGAUUUACUGUGCGUAAAGCGCACGUAGGCGGAUUGGUCAGUUAGGGGUGAAAUCCCGGAGCUCAACUCCGGAACUGCCUUUAAUACUGACAGUCUAGAGACCGAGAGAGGUGAGUGGAACUCCUAGUGUAGAGGUGGAAUUCGUAGAUAUUAGGAAGAACACCAGUGGCGAAGGCGGCUCACUGGCUCGGUACUGACGCUGAGGUGCGAAAGCGUGGGGAGCAAACA